This 3017-nucleotide ribosomal RNA is filed under the name Capsicum annuum. RNAcentral describes it as "bacterial LSU rRNA". It matches the Rfam family "Eukaryotic large subunit ribosomal RNA", at positions 445 to 3379 of the family's 3401-position model. Lineage: Eukaryota; Viridiplantae; Streptophyta; Magnoliopsida; Solanales; Solanaceae. The record is from RNAcentral.
ACAAAUUCCCUCUUUUUGUUUUAUGGAAAUGAAUGAUUAAAAGUCAACUAAUUUGCAUACUACUUAAUUAGCACCAUAUUCCAUAAGGGAUUCGACCCCAACCUAUUUGGGUUAUAUAUUUGACAGUGACAGCUUAUGCUUUCGUAAAAGAUGUGUAAUUUGGGCGUAUCAAUGAGUUGGACCACAGAUCAACUUCGGGCAUGGACCAGUGUGUAUUGGGGAGACGGUCAGUGCUCGGGAUCUUCAUACAUUUGUGGAACAUCAUCUCCUUCAUUGUAGCAGGAAGCUCGUGCCCCUGGUGUGCUUUUACAUCUGCGUGCUCCAGACACUGUCCAGUGGGCUCCCCAUUUGACCCGUCUUGAAAUUUAGACCAAGAAGUCUGGCAUGUGUGCGAGUCAAAGAGAGAGUAAACCCCUAAUAUAUAAGGAAGCUGAUUGGUAGGAUCCCUCUGAGGGGUGCACCACCGACUGAACUUUAUCUUCUGAGUAGGGUACGAGUGUAAGCAUACAUGUCGGAACUCGAAAGAUGGUGUACUAUGCCUGAGCAGGGAAACGUCAGAGGAAACCCUAGAGGAGGCCUGCAGCGAUACUGACAUGAAAAUCAUUUGUCUAACUUUGGUAUAAGGGAGAAAGACCAAUUAAACCGUCUAGUAGCUGGUUCUCUAUGAAGUUUUCCACAGGAUAGCUAAAGCUCGCGUGUGAGUUCUAUCAAUUAAUGCUAGUGAUUAGAGGACUCAGGGGCGCAACUCCCUCGACCUAUUCUCAAACAUUAAAUACGUAGGACGGAGUGGCUACUUUAUUAAGCUGCACCACAGAAUCAAGACCUCUAAGUGGGUCAUUUUUGGUAAGCAUAAUUGGCAAUAUGGGAUGAACCAGAAUCCGUGUACAGUGCAAAACUAUAUGCGAACCUGGAUCCCACAAAGGGUGUUGGUCGAUUAAGACAGUAGGACGGUGGUCAUUGAAGUCAAAAUCUACUAAGGAGUGUGUAACAACUGACCUGCCGAAUCAACUAGCCCCCAAAAUGGAUGGAACUUAAGCACACGACCUACACUCGGCCAUCGGGGAAUAUUCCAGGCCCCGAUAAGUAGAAGGGUGCAACGGUCGCUACAAAACCUUAGGCGCAAGACCGAGUGGAGCGGCCAUCGGUGCGAUUCUUAGUGGUAGUAGAAAAUAUUCAAAUGAGAAAUUUGAAGGCCGAAGAGGGGAAAGGUUCCAUGUGAAUAGAAAUUUCACCUAGGUUAGUCAAUCCUAAGGGCUGGGGGAACCCCAACAGAUAACACAUUACGUGUGUAAUCAAAAAUGGAAUCAGAUUAAAAUUCCUAAAUCGGGAUGUGGCAGUCGACGACAACAUUAGGAAGUACAGAGAUGUCAGUGAGAGCCUUGCAAAUAUUUAUCUUUUCUAUUUAACAGCCUGGCUGCCCUGGAAUCGGCUCGGCUGAAGGUAGGCUCUAGUGGUAGGAAAAGCACUGCAUGUCGCGUGGUGUAUGGUGUGCUCCUGGAGGCCUUUGAAAAUCCAGAGGACCAAAUUUCCUCCACUCCCAGUUGUACUCAUAACCGCAUCAGAUCUCCAAGGUGAACAACCUCUGGUCAAUGGAAUAAUAUAGGCAAGGUAAUUCAGAAAAAUAGAUCCCUAACUUUGGGUAAAGGAUUAGCUCUUAGGGCUGGGCAAAGGGGUCCCAGUCUCAAACCCAUCAGCUGUUGGUGGAUUACUUGAUCAGAUCCCAUGGAGAGAGUUGAUUGCCGCAUAAUGGUCGGGGGAUGGACUGGCACCUAGUUCGGGCAUAGGGGGUCCUUCUUUUUAAUUAAAACAAAGCAUUGCCAUGGUCACAACGGAUGUUCACACAAUGCGAUUUCUGCACAGUGCUCUGAAUUUCAAAGCGAAAAAAUUCAACCAAGCGCGGGAAAAUGUCAUGAGUAACUAUGACUGUCUUAAGGUAGCCAAAUGCCUCAUCAUCUAAUUAGUGAUGCACAUAAGUUGAUUAAUGAGAUUGUACUUGUCUACUGUCAAGCAAAACUACAGCCAAGGGAACAAGCUUGGUAGAAUCAGUAGAGAAAGAAGACCCUGUUGAGCUGGACUGUAGUCAAACUUUGUGAAAUGACUUCAGAGGUGUAGUAUAAGUAUGAUCCAAAAGGCGAGAUUGAAAUACCAAUAAUUUUAACAUUAUUUUUAUGAUUUUGUGAAUUGAAAGUGGGGCACUACCCCUCUUUUCGGACCCAAAGCUCGCUCCGUGGGCAAAUCCAGGUGGAAGACAUUGUCAGGUAGGGAGUUUAGCUGGGGCAACAUAUCUGUUAAAAGAUUACGCGGGUUUCCUAAGAUGAGCUCAACGAGAAAAGAAAUCUUGUGUUGAAAAGAAGCGUAAAAGCUCAUUUCAUUAUGAUUUCUAGUAGUAAUACGAACCAUGAAAGCAUGGCCUAAUGAUCCAUUAGACCUUUGAAAUUCGGAGCUAGAGGUGUCAAAAAAGUUACCACAGGGAUAAAUAGCUUGAGGCAGCCAAGCUUUCAUAGCGACGUUGCUUUUUGAUCCUUUGAUAUUGGCUUUUCCUAUCAUUAUGAAAAACAAUUCAGCAAGUGUAGAUUUUUCACCCACCAAUAAGGAAUAUGAGCUGGGUUUAGACCAUCAUGAGACAGUUAGUUUUACCUUACUAAUGACAGUGCUACAAUAGUAAUUCAACCUAGUACGAGAGGAACCAUUGAUUCACACAAUUGGUCAUUGUGCUUAGUUGAAAAGCCAGUGGGGCGAAGCAACCAUGUGCUGGAUUAUGACUAAAUAGCUGUAAGUCAGAAUCAGUGAUAGAAGUAAUGCAUGCACCCGCUGUCGACUUACCGACCCGUAGUAGGGGCCUCGGCCCCCAAAGAAACAUAUCGUUGGCUAAGCCAUCACAAUGAAAGGAUUGCCAUGUCUGCCUUGAAGUACAAUUUUCAUUGAGCAAUAGGUAGAAUCCUUUGCAGACAACUUAAAUACAUCACGGUGUAUUGUAAAUGAAAGAGUGGCCUUACUGCCACAAUCCACUGAUAUUU